RNAcentral lists this ribosomal RNA (253 nucleotides) under uncultured bacterium. RNAcentral describes it as "partial 16S ribosomal RNA". It matches the Rfam family "Bacterial small subunit ribosomal RNA", at positions 524 to 776 of the family's 1533-position model. The record is from RNAcentral.
UACGGAGGGUGCAAGCGUUGCUCGGAAUUAUUGGGCGUAAAGGGUAGGUAGGUGGUCUCAUUUGUCUGGGGUGAAAUCCUGGAGCUCAACUCCAGAACUGCCUUUGAUACUGAAGAUCUUGAGUUCGGGAGAGGUGAGUGGAACUGCGAGUGUAGAGGUGAAAUUCGUAGAUAUUCGCAAGAACACCAGUGGCGAAGGCGGCUCACUGGCCCGAUACUGACGCUGAGGCACGAAAGCGUGGGGAGCAAACAGG